Molecule: long non-coding RNA, 189 nt
Organism: Thunnus maccoyii (southern bluefin tuna)
Lineage: Eukaryota; Metazoa; Chordata; Actinopteri; Scombriformes; Scombridae
Exons: 3
Source: RefSeq, a predicted model, not a curated record
UUUGUCAGACUCAGAGCAGCUGAGUGACAGAGUGUCAGUGCUGGAUGUGAGGAUGAGGUACACUUUGAUCUGUGUGCUGGGAUUAUUCUUGAUGAAUACACUCUUCUACGGACACUCUGAAGGGCAGGGUGAUGACUCAGCAGAGGACACUGGUGAGUCUGAUGUGGAGAAAGGAUCAUCUGCAGGUGC